RNAcentral lists this ribosomal RNA (506 nucleotides) under uncultured bacterium. RNAcentral describes it as "partial 16S ribosomal RNA". It matches the Rfam family "Bacterial small subunit ribosomal RNA", at positions 30 to 523 of the family's 1533-position model. The record is from RNAcentral.
AUUGAACGCUGGCGGCAGGCCUAACACAUGCAAGUCGAACGGUAACAGGAAACAGCUUGCUGUUUCGCUGACGAGUGGCGGACGGGUGAGUAAUGUCUGGGAAACUGCCUGAUGGAGGGGGAUAACUACUGGAAACGGUAGCUAAUACCGCAUAACGUCGCAAGACCAAAGAGGGGGACCUUCGGGCCCCUUGCCAUCGGAUGUGCCCAGAUGGGAUUAGCUAGUAGGUGGGGUAACGGCUCACCUAGGCGACGAUCCCUAGCUGGUCUGAGAGGAUGACCAGCCACACUGGAACUGAGACACGGUCCAGACUCCUACGGGAGGCAGCAGUGGGGAAUAUUGCACAAUGGGCGCAAGCCUGAUGCAGCCAUGCCGCGUGUAUGAAGAAGGCCUUCGGGUUGUAAAGUACUUUCAGCGGGGAGGAAGGGAGUAAAGUCAAUACCUUUGCUCAUUGACGUUACCCGCAGAAGAAGCACCGGCUAACUCCGUGCCAGCCGCCGCAGUAA